UACGGGGGUGCAAGCGUUGUUCGGAAUUACUGGGCGUAAAGCGUGCGCAGGCGGUUCUAUAAGACAGAUGUGAAAUCCCCGGGCUUAACCUGGGAACUGCGUUUGUGACUGUAGGACUUGAGUAUUGGAGGGGGUGGUGGAAUUCCACGUGUAGCGGUGAAAUGCGUAGAUAUGUGGAGGAACACCAGUGGCGAAGGCGACUUUCUGGACUGUAACUGACGCUGAGGCGCGAAAGCGUGGGGAGCAAACAGGAUUAGAAA
This 260-nucleotide ribosomal RNA is filed under the name uncultured bacterium. Its description in RNAcentral is "partial 16S ribosomal RNA". It matches the Rfam family "Bacterial small subunit ribosomal RNA", at positions 524 to 784 of the family's 1533-position model. The record is from RNAcentral.